AGCUGAUGAAAUGAUUAAAGC
This 21-nucleotide unclassified non-coding RNA is filed under the name Dictyostelium discoideum. Lineage: Eukaryota; Evosea; Eumycetozoa; Dictyosteliales; Dictyosteliaceae. The record is from RNAcentral.